AUGAAGAAAACAAAGGGGCCUACUCACUAUGAUCUGGGUCUUCAGAAGGUGAAUUAUACAAAGGCAACGACUCUCUUUUCAGGUAAUGUUGCAGUUUCUCAAAACCCUAUCUCUUAUUGCAAGCUUAAGAUGGAUGAUUUUUGGUAUCUGCUCAAAUUUUAUAGCCUUCUUAAGAGGAGUAAUGUGUCUGAGAAAUUUAUCAAAGAUUUUUUGCACGGACAUGGUUAUAAAACAGAGGAGGAAUUUCUUAUUGCUUUUACUACUGAACCUCUUCAAGUAGUGCCUCCUAAUACAGUAUAUGAUGUGGAUGUGAAAAAAUUGGCUGAAAUUUUGGAUGUUGAGAGUUGUGAUUAUUUUAUGAUUGAUAUCUAUACAAAGGAUGCUUAUAAAGCAUUGUCUGGAAGCUUUGAGUUUGACAGAACAACUAAGACAAACAUCUUCUACUCCAGUUUGUCUGCCACAAAUAUGCUGAGAAAAGCACAACUUCCCUAUGGUGCACUGGUCACAAGGAUCUUUGAAUUCUUCAAGAUUCAAAUUCCACUGAAGCUAAGUACGAGAACUCUUGUUGUCAUGUCUAUCGGCAAAGACUUGUUCGUGUGGAAAGGCCCAACACCGAGAGUGAAUAUAAAAACCCCGAACAGCUAAAGGAGAUCUUCUCCAAGAUAAACGACUAUCCCAAGCCAGCCUUCCAUCCCCUGGUGAAGUCGUUCGCUGAUGGACUAGUGACCCUCGGGGGCGGGAAAUGGGCACGGCACAGGAAGAUUAUCAAUCCAGCAUUUCACAUGGAAAAGCUGAAGCCUACGUUGCCGGCGUUUUAUUCAAGUUCCGCUGAAAUGGUUGAUAGAUGGGAGAAAUUGAUAUUAGUGGCGAGAUCGGGUGAGAUUGACGUGUGGAUCGACAUUCAAAAUUUGACCCGUGACGUGAUCUCUCGGAGCAUUUGGCAGUAGCUUUGAAGAAGGCAAAAGGAUUUUCAAACUUCAGGAGGAAAAAGCCCUACUCGCAGUUAAAGCCCUUCAAUCGGUCUACGUCCCUGGCUGGAGGUUUGUGCCAACUAGUGUGAACAGGAGGAUGAAGAAUAUAGAGAAGGAAGUGCGGGCUCUGGUCAUGGACAUCGUCCGCAGAAGAGAGAAAGCAAUGAAGGCAGGAGAAGCUGCUAGCGAUGUUCUGUUGGGGUUGUUGCUGGAAUCAAACAUGAAAGAAAAUGUUGGGAUGAGCCUUCACGAAGUGAUCGAGGAGUGCAAGCUUUUCUACUUCGUCGGACAAGAGACGACUUCGGUCUUGCUGGUUUGGACCAUGGUCUUGUUGAGCGCACACUCAGAUUGGCAAGCCCGAGCUAGGGAGGAGGUCCUCCAAGUCUUUGGAAGCAGAAAACCCAACUUUGACGGGUUAACCCACCUCGAGACUGUCACAAUGAUCUUGAAUGAGGUCCUAAGGCUAUAUCCACCGGUAAUCUUGCUGGAACGCAAGGUUCACAAGGAAACAAAACUCGGGAAGCUUACCAUUCCCACAGGAGUCCAGCUAUCAGCGUCACCUCUCCUCAUCCACCGUGAUAAAGAACUGUGGGGGGAGGAUGCUGACGACUUCGAGCCGGAGAGGUUUGCCGAGGGAGUGUCUAGGGCCACCAAGAACCAAGUCUCCUUCCCCGUUUGGAUGGGGCCCUCGCAUAUGCAUUGGCCAGAACUUCGCAUUGAUAGAGGCGAAGAUUGCACUCACCAUGAUACUUCAGCGAUUCACAUUUCCUCAAUUUGCAUUUGACCUCUCACCAUCUCAUAAGCAGGCUCCUUUCAUUGUCAUCACCCUCCAGCCAUAGCAUGGUGUUCUAGUCAUCUUGCAUCAGGCAAACUAAAAGUAACAACUCAGGGUAACGUAGUGUAGACAAAAACGUGCAUUGAUAUGAUGAAAGGAUACCCUUUUUUGCCAUUUAUGCAU
Eucalyptus grandis is the source of this 1929-nucleotide RNA transcript. It is a transcript of the gene named cytochrome P450 CYP72A219, with no coding region annotated. NCBI's taxonomy places the organism in Eukaryota, Viridiplantae, Streptophyta, Magnoliopsida, Myrtales, Myrtaceae. The transcript is spliced from 8 exons. The record is from RefSeq and is a predicted model, not a curated record.